This 440-nucleotide ribosomal RNA is filed under the name uncultured bacterium. RNAcentral describes it as "partial 16S ribosomal RNA". It matches the Rfam family "Bacterial small subunit ribosomal RNA", at positions 338 to 795 of the family's 1533-position model. The record is from RNAcentral.
CCUACGGGUGGCAGCAGUGGGGAAUAUUGCACAAUGGGGGGAACCUUGAUGCAGCAACGCCGCGUGGGUGAAGAAGUACUCCGGUAUGUAAAGCCCUGUCAGCAGGGAAGAAAAUGACGGUACCUGACCAAGAAGCCCCGGCUAACGACGGGCCAGCAGCCGCGGUAAUACGUAGGGGGCAAGCGUUAUCCGGCUUUACUGGGUGUAAAGGGAGCGUAGACGGGAAGGCAAGUCUGGAGUGAAAGCCCGUGGCACAACCACGGGACUGCUUUGGAAACUGUGUUGCUGGAGUGCAGGAGGGGUAAGCGGAAGUCCUAGUGGAGCGGUGAAAUGCGUAGAUAUUAGGAGGAACACCGGUGGCGAAGGCGGCUUACUAAACUGUGACUGACAUUGAUGCUCGAAAGUGUGGGUAUCAAACAGGAUUAGAUACCCUUGUAGUC